GUUUAAUGUAGGUCAAUCCUUUUACUAACUUAGGGCUCAUUUGCUUUCAGUGAGUAUGAAAUUGUGCUUUCUUAGUAUUGUUUUGUCUUUUUUACAUUUGUCUGAGAAAAAGCAACAAGUUGAAGAGAAGGUGAUUAGUCAUCAGGAGUUUCAGAUGGCAAACGAGUGCAGGUUUGGCGUGGAGAUUACUGAUGAAGAGUUUGAGCUGCUACUUGACAGAAUCCCCCUUGAUGAAGAUGGAAAUGUCAGAUACCCCCAGUUCAUGGCCAGGUUUGAUUCCUGAGGGCCGUGUGGAAUCGUCCUAAUCCGGGAAGAGCCACUGCCUCCCUGUGUGAUCUGACACAGUGACAUAUCACUUGACCUCGGUCGCGGCAGCUGUACAGCGAGGUGGAAAAGGCGGCUGACGGACAAGCAGGGGAUGCCUUUCAGCACAGCUUCCUCGGGAUACAGUUGAGAAGAAUGUAUGCUAUAUGGAAGAACACGCAGAAGUUGUGAGCAACCACACGGUCUGAAUGUUAAGGGUUCAUCCAUCUUCCUGCACAAGAAUGCCUUUAUCUGGAAAAGACAAACAUCCCAGGAGUCUGUAAGAAGUAAGAAGUAAGCUGUUGCAGCUUGAAUUUGUGAGAGGACUUCUGUGGAGCCUGAACCACCUCCCUCCAUCUCAAAGGAGACCGAGCCUUCCCUCUUUCUUAAAGCAAGGCACCCUGGCAGCCUGCAUAGUAAGAUUGUAGCUCAGCAAGCUCCUGCUUGCAGCAUGUCCCAGCAGGCUGCAGAAGGGGAACGUGGAAAGGCAGACCCACUCCAAGGCUUUUGACUUGCCACACCUUUCCGAGAGGAUGACAUCUCAGAGGCUCUGUGUCUGUCCCAGAUUGUGACUGUUUUCUUCUGAAGAGCAAACGUGAGAUUCAAAGAGCGCCUGGCAAAAGCUGCUUCUAGUACUGCAGCAGCAGCAUGGGAAAUAUUUCAUUUACAGUGACGGGAAGACUCUCUGAAGAGCCCUUAAGAAGCCACAUGUUGGCAGCUGAAUUUCAAUCCAUCCCAAAUCUCCACAGCUUCCUGCUAGAAGAGGAUGAAAUUGACCACAUGCUCUCAAAAUUCAUCUCAGUCUGAAAAGGCAGGUUAACUGCAAAUCCAUUUGGGGAAAAAAUUAUAACAACAACAACAACAACAAAAUUAAAAACUGCUACAAAUUAAUGUAGAAUAUUCCUUUGAGAAGGAUAACAGCCUUUAUGUCCCCCCAGUUGCCUAUCCUUCUAACUACGUCACAUGUAUAUUUCUCCUAUUUAUGUCCCUGGUCUAUUGACUGUGGGUCUGUACUGUACGUUGUUUUGUGGAGAGGUGGUAGAAGCCCUUUCUGAGAGCUUAAAGCAAAGCUGAAAAUAAGGCAGUUACAAACUAUGCGUAACGUAUGUUAUGUGACUGAGAAAACGAGCUGUCUGAAAAGGGGAGGCUAAGGUGCUCUAUGGAGAUUUGAGAAGGUGAAAUAUUCAAGCUGCUUUGCUGCCGGGUGCCUCCUCACAACAGAGCAGUGUUCCUUUGGCCUCACAGAAUUAGUUUAAGUCCUGCACGUGCAUGUGGGAGGGUAGAUUACUGUGCCUAGUUGUGUCAUCUUUUCUUCUUGGAGGAACAGUUCAUGCCUUCAGUACAGCAGGCAGUAGGACCUGCUCUGCAGUUGUUCUGCACCUGACUUCACUUUCACCAUCAGUGUAACUCAGUGUUUAGGACCAAGGUAGGUUACUUAUUUUCCUUACAUCUUUGCAAACACAGGGCUGUGUGUCUCAGUUAGUAAACUGAGCACCAAGAGCCAGUGAAAUAUGGAUCACUUACCUGUUUGGUAAGGUCUCUGCUGAUGCAGCUACAUCAUGCCUCCUCCUCGUGUAGCAGCUCUAGCUUCAGGGGUUUCCAGAAAGCUUUGUCUACUUGCAAGAGCUAAGGAUUUGGUCCAGAAUAUACACAAGUAGGUAAAUAGCAUGUUUGUUUGGUUGCUUUAAUAUACUGACUUUCCUGCAGGCAGUAAUUUGUAACCGACUAUAAGCAUUGGUACCCUUAGGCAACAUUUAAUUGGUUGUCAUGCAUCUUAGCCAUCUAACAGGUUUUUUUGGCUUUCCACAACGAAAAAUACACUUCUGGUCUUGUUCUUUUUCCAAAUACUUUCCCUCCUCCAGACAUCAAAGGGAAUUUACAGAACUUUCAGUAAUAAAACUCCAAUAAAAGGUUGCUUUUUUCCUCUCUCUUUGGUUAAAGAAAUGAGAAGGUAACAUAUGAAUAAAGUAUGUGAUGUAAGAAAAUUGUUA
Molecule: long non-coding RNA, 2294 nt
Filed under: Gallus gallus (chicken)
Lineage: Eukaryota; Metazoa; Chordata; Aves; Galliformes; Phasianidae
Description: lncRNA (ENSGALG00010009036.1)
Source: RNAcentral